Molecule: non-coding RNA, 22 nt
Filed under: Rattus norvegicus (Norway rat)
Lineage: Eukaryota; Metazoa; Chordata; Mammalia; Rodentia; Muridae
Source: RNAcentral
ACAAACUUGAGAGCCCAUUGUU